This 633-nucleotide long non-coding RNA is filed under the name Lactuca sativa (garden lettuce). RNAcentral's name for it is "long non-coding RNA (LSAT_LNC006159)". Lineage: Eukaryota; Viridiplantae; Streptophyta; Magnoliopsida; Asterales; Asteraceae. The record is from RNAcentral.
UCAAUUGAUAUUCUUGUUUCUUAUUCCACGAGAGCAUGGCACGAUUCACAACAAUGGUGGUGUUUAAUGGCGUACUUCUUGUAGCCCUUUUCUUAUCAUGUAUCUCUUGCCUUUUGUAUCCCUUUAAGAUCGAUGUAAUCUUGACAUUGUUUUUCUCUUUGAUUUUGUAUCAUCUCUAACAUGUAAUUGUUUAUACAAUGUUUCAGUUGAAAUGGUGACACCAAUAAUGGGCGAUGCAUGUAGUGAUUUGAUACCAAUUAAGCCGAAAUGGUGUGCUGGGGAACAAGUAUCAGAUGACUGUUGGGAUGCAUGCAGGUUAAAGCAUGGUGAGACAAUUGCAGCAAAGUGUUUUUAUGAACCAUUAAUUCCAGGAAAUGAUAGGGCUUGUGAAUGUUAUUGGCCAUGUUAAUUAAUGAUGUUUUUUUUUAUCCUAAUGGGACAUAAUAUUUGACAUGUGAAGUUACUGAAAUAUCCUUAGAAUUCAAUAAAAAUAUGUAUCUUGGAAAGGGAAUAAUAUAUUCUUAUUAAACUAGCAAAACACUAAUUAAAAAGAGAUUACGAAUAAAUAAUACCUAAUUUGAGUUUUGCAAACAACAAACUCUACUAAAAAUGACAUAUUUCAUUGGUUUACUC